GCUGGGUGUGGCUCAGUGGUUGAGCACCAACAUUGCGUGCAGAAAGUCCCAGGUUCAAUUUCUGGCAUCUGUA
RNAcentral lists this transfer RNA (73 nucleotides) under Sphaerodactylus townsendi. Its description in RNAcentral is "tRNA-Ala". Lineage: Eukaryota; Metazoa; Chordata; Lepidosauria; Squamata; Sphaerodactylidae. The record is from RNAcentral.